This 87-nucleotide transfer RNA is filed under the name Candidatus Pelagibacterales bacterium. RNAcentral describes it as "tRNA-Leu". It matches the Rfam family "tRNA". Rfam says of the family: Transfer RNA (tRNA) molecules are approximately 80 nucleotides in length. The record is from RNAcentral. Lineage: Bacteria; Pseudomonadati; Pseudomonadota; Alphaproteobacteria; Candidatus Pelagibacterales. RNAcentral also lists the same sequence under 1 other name.
GCGGCCAUGGCGGAACUGGUAGACGCGCAACGUUGAGGGCGUUGUGGGAGAAAUCCCGUGGAGGUUCAAGUCCUCUUGGCCGCACCA